GGCAGGGAAAUGGACCCUUCCCCAGGAUGAAUCAGACUUCAAGGAGAAAUCUCUCUGAUUUCUAGACCCAUUUUGGACUUAAAUCCUCUCUGAGCCAUCAGCUAUUUAUUUACUCUCUGCCAGCUCCUACAUCUUUACCUGUGAGCUGAGCUUUUCCAGUUUGAAAAGUAAAAAACAAAAGAACCCUCAGGACAGCUCGUUUUCCGUCAGCUCCUCUGUACUGAACCACGAUGGCCGACACUCCUUUAGACGUUGAGACGUACCUGAAAUUGGUCAUCAAAGGCAAGGAAAUGGAAGCUCAGUGUGGUUAGAUGACUUGAGCCAGAUCAGAGAUUUCAUGAUUGACCCACCCACCAUGCCUUCCUCCAAAGCCCACGCUCUUCUGCCCGGGACCGUAGGAAGAUCUCCUCUCAGGAAUGUGGGCGGGAAGGGCUGCCGUUGGAAAUCUGGUCAAGUUCCCGCCCACGCUGGAGGAAACCUCGAGGUCUAGAGAGACACUUAUCACAGAGAUACAUCACAGCACGGGAAAUUCCGCCGGUCCCAUCCAGCGUGGCUUCCGAUGGCCAGUUCCUCUGACUGUCAAUGUUACCCGAGAUUCUAACUCUACAGCUCCGUAGGAAUGCAGGAAAGCUGUUCUGUAGAUAAAUCCCUAGGUUUAUCAACCCGUGUAUUAUUUAUUCUUAUGCAAUUAGCAACCACUGGUCUGAAAAAAAAAAGGACGGCGGGGCUGAAUAAAUGAAGGACAUCUGGGCUGAAUCAAUAAAUCUUUGUGUCUUAUUCCCAGCAGCAAUUCUGCUGCUUUACGGACGCUGGAGUCUCACACGGA
This is a long non-coding RNA of Myotis brandtii (Brandt's bat), 826 nucleotides long. RefSeq lists it as uncharacterized. The transcript is spliced from 3 exons. Lineage: Eukaryota; Metazoa; Chordata; Mammalia; Chiroptera; Vespertilionidae. The record is from RefSeq and is a predicted model, not a curated record.